Molecule: ribosomal RNA, 222 nt
Filed under: uncultured bacterium
Lineage: Bacteria
Description: partial 16S ribosomal RNA
Rfam family: Bacterial small subunit ribosomal RNA
Source: RNAcentral
GGGAAUAUUGCACAAUGGGCGAAAGCCUGAUGCAGCAACGCCGCGUGAGUGAUGAAGGUCUUCGGAUUGUAAAGCUCUGUCUUUUGGGACGAUAAUGACGGUACCAAAGGAGGAAGCCACGGCUAACUACGUGCCAGCAGCCGCGGUAAUACGUAGGUGGCGAGCGUUGUCCGGAUUUACUGGGCGUAAAGGGUGCGUAGGCGGAUGUUUAAGUGAGAUGUG